Oncorhynchus keta (chum salmon) is the source of this 441-nucleotide long non-coding RNA. RefSeq lists it as uncharacterized. The transcript is spliced from 4 exons. Lineage: Eukaryota; Metazoa; Chordata; Actinopteri; Salmoniformes; Salmonidae. The record is from RefSeq and is a predicted model, not a curated record.
UUUGUGAAGGUGAGGGUCUGUGUGUAUAUACUCAGAGGGUGUGUUUGUGAAGGUGAGGGUCUGUGUGUAUAUACUCAGAGGGUGUGUUUGUGAAGGUGAGGGUCUGUGUGUAUAUACUCAGAGGGUGUGUUUGUGAAGGUGAGGGUCUGUGUGUAUAUACUCAGAGGGUGUGUUUGUGAAGGUGAGGGUCUGUGUGUAUAUACUCAGAGGGUGUGUUUGUGAAGGUGAGGGUCUGUGUGUAUAUACUCAGAGGGUGUGUUUGUGAAGGUGAGGGUCUGUGUGUAUAUACUCAGAGGGUGUGUUUGUGAAGGUGAGGGUCUGUGUGUAUAUACUCAGAGGGUGUGUUUGUGAAGGUGAGGGUCUGUGUGUAUAUACUCAGAGGGUGUGUUUGUGAAGGUGAGGGUCUGUGUGUAUAUACUCAGAGGGUGUGUUUGUGAAGGU